This 67-nucleotide transfer RNA is filed under the name Ictidomys tridecemlineatus (thirteen-lined ground squirrel). RNAcentral describes it as "Spermophilus tridecemlineatus (thirteen-lined ground squirrel) tRNA". It matches the Rfam family "tRNA". From Rfam's summary of the family: Transfer RNA (tRNA) molecules are approximately 80 nucleotides in length. Their secondary structure includes four short double-helical elements and three loops (D, anti-codon, and T loops). The record is from Rfam by way of RNAcentral. Lineage: Eukaryota; Metazoa; Chordata; Mammalia; Rodentia; Sciuridae.
GGUUGUGGCUCAGAGGUAGAGCGCAUGCCUAGCAAACAUGAGGCACUGGGUUUGAUCCUCGGCACCA